Molecule: non-coding RNA, 118 nt
Organism: Acanthosepion pharaonis
Lineage: Eukaryota; Metazoa; Mollusca; Cephalopoda; Sepiida; Sepiidae
Source: the annotation of a GenBank genome assembly
UUACGGUCAAAUCACGCUGAAAACACCGGUUCUCGUUCGAUCACCGAAGUUAAGCAUCGUAGAGCCAGGUCAGUAUUCUUAGAUGAGGGACCGCUUGGGAACACCUGGUACUGUAAGC